Molecule: long non-coding RNA, 797 nt
Filed under: Brachypodium distachyon (stiff brome)
Lineage: Eukaryota; Viridiplantae; Streptophyta; Magnoliopsida; Poales; Poaceae
Description: long non-coding RNA (BDIS_LNC003452)
Source: RNAcentral
UGUUCAUCGACGACACACCGUUGUGUUGUGGAUGAGAAAGACGUACACAAAUCAUAUUACUAAAAACUUUAUACGUCUACAAGGAUCCAAGGUUUUUCCCACCUCGUAGCGUCGUCAAGAUGCUGACUAGAGAGAAGGGGGACCAGCAAAUCCCUGACGACGGCUACAACUUUGCGUUCCUCGUUGCAAACCCUGGAGUCUCUCCGCUCCAACACGAUUUGAUUGUGAAUCAGUCGAAAGAAAAAGAAUAAAAGGGAAAUCACCUUACCAUGUUGGGCUGGUUCGGGACUGACACCUCAAUGAGUUGGGCCCUUUCUUCUCCACGCGUCGACCAACUUUCGUGCAUUGACCAAAUUUCCCUCUCUCUUUCGUUCUCUCACUGUUAGGCUCACCGUCUCCAGUCUCCACAAUGCAAAUCGCGAACAGUGUAAGAGAGCCACACCGCGGACGCCGUCAAUUUUUUUUUUAAGAACGCCGUCAAAUUUGACCAUCUCACCGUCAAGAACCAAGCCUCGGAGUUCCUUCUCCUUAAUCCGUUUCCGUGUCAAAGACCUCUUGUCAGGUACUGUUUGGUGCUAGAACAUGGUGAAAUGCAAUGAUCACAUUUUAGAUUUGAGGACAAUUCUUGUGUUUAGUUUUUAGAAUAUAGAAAACUGGAAUUAAACCGUAUGGUUACUCAAAAUGGAAUAUCCCUUAACAUGUUGAACCAUAUGGUAACUAAAAAAAGUAGGAGAUUGUUUGAGGUGUUUUUUCUAGAAUAUAAAAAACUAGAACCGUCUCGUGUCAUUUCAGAUUGC